This is a long non-coding RNA of Anser cygnoides (Swan goose), 1858 nucleotides long. The record is from Ensembl. NCBI's taxonomy places the organism in Eukaryota, Metazoa, Chordata, Aves, Anseriformes, Anatidae.
CAGAGUUCAUGCAAGAGCAGGACUUCUGCCCAGGUGCUGAUAGGAACACUUUUUUUUUGGAACUUCACAUUUGAAAUAUAGUUCAGUUGCAUACGUGAACAGAAGUUGCAUAAUACCUAGAGUAAUGUAUAUGAGAGUUAAGUAUUUGGAGACAAGUUUUCAAAACGUUUUCAAAAAUGGAAAAAUAAAUAUGUGUUUAUAUUCUUUAAUACUAGGGACCUUUUAAGGUGCAGCAGCAUUUGAUCUGAAUUGUCAGCUCAUGGAUCCUUAGUAAUUGCAGAUGAGUUUCCUCUCCUGUCCUUUUUGUUCACUGGUACCUUAAACUCCCCUACUUCAGUCAGUCACAAUCAUGAUCUAAUUGUGAUCUCUCUUGCUGUUUCCCUACAGUUGUAAGAAAUUCUCUUGUGUGCUGAAGAGAGAUGCCCCAGUCUGAGGAUGCUCAGCCAUGCUUCUAUCCAGGAGGUACUACUGAAAGAAAGAAGUGGCUCUUUGAACAGCAAGAUGGAGAUUCUUAUGCAUUUUAUGGAAAUAGCACAGCUAUGACUUGCCAUCAGUUCAGCCAGCAGUCAAGCAAAGAAUGGAGCUCAGUUUUGCAAAGUCUGUCCAGGAAUAUAUCUACUAGAUUGCUUUACCCCUGAAUGAGAAGUUUGCCUUCAUUUUCUUACUAAGAUUUGGUCUGGAACCAACUAGCAACUGCAGCAGUUUCUGGUAGGUAAUAUUUUUGACUAGAUUAGAGUCAAUGACUUACAAAUGAGAACCUUUUUAUUCCAUAAUAGAACAAAAGGCAUUAUUUCCUGGGAAACAAAAUCUGUGCAUUUAUCUAUUUAGUGUGUUUACUUGGAUUUUAUAUUUAGAUAAAAGAGGCAUUUCAAUUUUAUAGUGUAUCUACAGCAUGGUACGUUGAAUUCUCAAAAUUUAAUCAUGUACUAGUUAUGCUUUGUGUCUGAUUAAAGAUGAUAGAUUUUAAUGGUUUAGUAUUGAAGGUCAAAGAUUAAGUCACUAUUGGUAGUUUCUUGGCACCAUAAGACCUCUACCUAUUGAAGAAACACUUUGAAUUUUCACUGGAAUCUUAAUAACUUGUCCUAGUGGUUGGAAGAUUCACAGAAAAUUAGAGUCCUAAAUAUUACUGAGAAAAAGCUGUUUACUUGGGAGGAAGUUUUCAAAGAUACAAAUUGAGAGACUGGCAUCUCUCUUUCCCCUCCAUUUUCCAUUGUCUUCAUUGACAGAUAAUCUCAAAUUGGCUUUGUAUGAAGCCAAUGGGGUACAAAGGUAAGUUUUAACUUUUUAGGACAGUGUUUCAACUAUAGUGACUAUUACUUGACAUAUGCUAUGAAAGCAAUGAAGUCUGUACUGGACUUUUUUAUUUUACUGAAAACUGGGGAAGCACAGGCUCACUCUAUGGGGUUUGCAUGUUCAUAUGGAUUACGCAAAAACAAUAUCAGCAGGCUUCAUUUCAGUGUUUUAGUAAAUGCUAUAAAGCAGCUACUGGAAUACUCAAAUUAGAUCAGAUGUUAUAAUGCCAAACUCUCAUCCCAGCAGAGUACAACAUUAAAAAAAAUGGUUACUUUUGUUUUUAAUUUACCACUCUAUGGAUGAGAGAAGUCCCAUCUGCUUGCUUUAUUUUUAAAUGAAAACAUAAAUGUUGUCCUGUGGUGACAUUAGGCUAGAUAUUACGUAGAGAUACAGACUCCAAGCAGUUAAAAUUUACAUUUAACAAAUAUGUUUUCUUACAUGCAACCAUCUGCAUGAUAAAACCAAUGAAUAAGUUUGUGAAGCUAGCGUAAACAGGAUUCAAAGUGACCCACUUUUAUGCCACUGUGGGAAUAAAAAUUACAGAAUUUUAAGUAAGCUAGAACCA